UGCAUAUCAAUAAGCGGAGGAAAAGAAACCAACAGGGAUUGCCUCAGUAACGGCGAGUGAAGCGGCAAAAGCUCAAAUUUGAAAUCUGGUACCUUCGGUGCCCGAGUUGUAAUUUGAAGAUUGUACUCUGGAGUUGGCCCUUGUCUAUGUUCCUUGGAACAGGACGUCACAGAGGGUGAGAAUCCCGUGCGAUGGGGUGUCCAAUUCCAUGUAGAGUGCUAUCGAAGAGUCGAGUUGUUUGGGAAUGCAGCUCUAAGUGGGUGGUAAAUUCCAUCUAAAGCUAAAUAUUGGCGAGAGACCGAUAGCGAACAAGUACAGUGAUGGAAAGAUGAAAAGAACUUUGAAAAGAGAGUGAAAAAGUACGUGAAAUUGUUGAAAGGGAAGGUUAUUAGAUCAGACUUGGUGUUUGGCGAUAUUCAGCCUCUUGUAGGCUGUUCACUCGUCUUUCACUGGGCCAGCAUCGGUUUGGAUGGCAGGAUAAUGGCUGUUGAACGUGGCUCUUCGGAGUGUUAUAGCUUCAGCUGAUACUGCCUAUCUAGACCGAGGACUGCGGCUUUCGAGCCUAGGAUGCUGGCGUAAUGAUCUAAUAUCGCCCGUCUUGAAACACGGA
This 610-nucleotide ribosomal RNA is filed under the name Waltiozyma solani. RNAcentral describes it as "[Candida] solani partial 26S ribosomal RNA". It matches the Rfam family "Eukaryotic large subunit ribosomal RNA", at positions 37 to 665 of the family's 3401-position model. The record is from RNAcentral. Lineage: Eukaryota; Fungi; Ascomycota; Saccharomycetes; Phaffomycetales; Wickerhamomycetaceae.